AUUGAACGCUGGCGGCAGGCCUAACACAUGCAAGUCGAACGAGCGGCGGACGGGUGAGUAAUUUAUGGGAAACUGCCUGAUGGAGGGGGAUAACUACUGGAAACGGUAGCUAAUACCGCAUACCAUCGGAUGUGCACAGAUGGGAGUAGCUUGUAGGUGGGGUAAUGGCACACCUAGGCGACGAUCCCUAGCUGGUCUGAGAGGAUGACCAGCCACACUGGAACUGAGACACGGUCCAGACUCCUACGGGAGGCAGCAGUGGGGAAUAUUGCACAAUGGGAGCAAGCCUGAUGCAGCCAUGCCGCGUGUAUGAAGAAGGCCUUCGGGUUGUAAAGUACUUUCAGCGAGGAGGCGUUACUCGCAGAAGAAGCACCGGCUAACUCCGUGCCAGCAGCCGCGGUAAUUC
This 406-nucleotide ribosomal RNA is filed under the name uncultured bacterium. RNAcentral describes it as "partial 16S ribosomal RNA". It matches the Rfam family "Bacterial small subunit ribosomal RNA", at positions 30 to 526 of the family's 1533-position model. The record is from RNAcentral.